Molecule: long non-coding RNA, 306 nt
Organism: Bos taurus (domestic cattle)
Lineage: Eukaryota; Metazoa; Chordata; Mammalia; Artiodactyla; Bovidae
Source: Ensembl
CAACAUUUUUGCCUUCCUGACCUCCUUGCAAUCCUGCCAGGACACAUCAUAAGACAAGAAAGAGAAAAUCUGAAACCUGUCAUGGAUUAUUUGGCUAAGGCGUAUCAACUGCCACAACAACGGGUAUAGAAGAAAGGAAGCGUGAUGGAAGGAAAGGACUGGAUGAAUCAGAAAUCUGCAUUAGGGGAAAAUGCUGGACUGCUUUGAGACCUUCUCUAGCACACGGAGAUAUGGUGACUUUUGAGGCUCUGCUGCUGCUGCUGCUACUGCUAAGUCACUUUAGUCGUGUCCGACUCUGUGCAACCC